GAUGAACGCUGACAGAAUGCUUAACACAUGCAAGUCUUUGGCGAAGCUGUGCUUGCACAGCCUAGCCAAGGCGGACGGGUGAGGAACGCGUAAGGAACUUGCCCUGCAGUCAGGGAUAACAGACGGAAACGACUGAUAAGACCUGGUAAAGUCAGGCGGACUCAUGUCCAGCCUGAUGAAAAGAGAUGCUGCAGGAGAGCCUUGCGUCCUAUUAGCUUGUUGGUGGGGUAACGGCCCACCAAGGCGAUGAUAGGUAGCCGGCCUGAGAGGGUGGACGGCCACAAGGGGACCGAGAUACGGCCCUUACUCCUCCGGGAGGAAGCAGGGGGGCAUAUUGGACAAUGGGGGCAACACUGAUCCAGCAAUUCUGUGUGCACGAUGAAGGUUUUCGGAUUGUAAAGUGCUUUCAGCAGGGAAGAAAAAAAUGACGGUACCUGCAGAAGAAGCGACGGCUAAAUACGUG
This 463-nucleotide ribosomal RNA is filed under the name uncultured bacterium. RNAcentral's name for it is "partial 16S ribosomal RNA". It matches the Rfam family "Bacterial small subunit ribosomal RNA", at positions 28 to 507 of the family's 1533-position model. The record is from RNAcentral.